This 460-nucleotide ribosomal RNA is filed under the name uncultured bacterium. RNAcentral's name for it is "partial 16S ribosomal RNA". It matches the Rfam family "Bacterial small subunit ribosomal RNA", at positions 338 to 795 of the family's 1533-position model. The record is from RNAcentral.
CCUACGGGUGGCAGCAGUGAGGAAUAUUGGUCAAUGGACGAGAGUCUGAACCCGCCAAGUUGCGUGAAGGAUGACUGCCCUAUGGGUUGUAAACUUCUUUUAUAUGGGAAUAAAAUGUUCCACGUGUGGGAUUUUGUAUGUACCAUAUGAAUAAGGAUCGGCUAACUCCGUGCCAGCAGCCGCGGUAAUACGGAGGAUCCGAGCGUUAUCCGGAUUUAUUGGGUUUAAAGGGAGCGUAGGUGGAUUGUUAAGUCAGUUGUGAAAGUUUGCGGCUCAACCGUAAAAUUGCAGUUGAAACUGGCAGUCUUGAGUACAGUAGAGGUGGGCGGAAUUCGUGGUGUAGCGGUGAAAUGCUUAGAUAUCACGAAGAACUCCGAUUGCGAAGGCAGUUCACUGGACUGCAACUGACACUGAGGCUCGAAAGUGUGGGUAUCAAACAGGAUUAGAUACCCGGGUAGUC